Molecule: ribosomal RNA, 1420 nt
Filed under: Lactiplantibacillus plantarum
Lineage: Bacteria; Bacillati; Bacillota; Bacilli; Lactobacillales; Lactobacillaceae
Description: bacterial SSU rRNA
Rfam family: Bacterial small subunit ribosomal RNA
Source: RNAcentral
ACGAACUCUGGUAUUGAUUGGUGCUUGCAUCAUGAUUUACAUUUGAGUGAGUGGCGAACUGGUGAGUAACACGUGGGAAACCUGCCCAGAAGCGGGGGAUAACACCUGGAAACAGAUGCUAAUACCGCAUAACAACUUGGACCGCAUGGUCCGAGCUUGAAAGAUGGCUUCGGCUAUCACUUUUGGAUGGUCCCGCGGCGUAUUAGCUAGAUGGUGGGGUAAUGGCUCACCAUGGCAAUGAUACGUAGCCGACCUGAGAGGGUAAUCGGCCACAUUGGGACUGAGACACGGCCCAAACUCCUACGGGAGGCAGCAGUAGGGAAUCUUCCACAAUGGACGAAAGUCUGAUGGAGCAACGCCGCGUGAGUGAAGAAGGGUUUCGGCUCGUAAAACUCUGUUGUUAAAGAAGAACAUAUCUGAGAGUAACUGUUCAGGUAUUGACGGUAUUUAACCAGAAAGCCACGGCUAACUACGUGCCAGCAGCCGCGGUAAUACGUAGGUGGCAAGCGUUGUCCGGAUUUAUUGGGCGUAAAGCGAGCGCAGGCGGUUUUUUAAGUCUGAUGUGAAAGCCUUCGGCUCAACCGAAGAAGUGCAUCGGAAACUGGGAAACUUGAGUGCAGAAGAGGACAGUGGAACUCCAUGUGUAGCGGUGAAAUGCGUAGAUAUAUGGAAGAACACCAGUGGCGAAGGCGGCUGUCUGGUCUGUAACUGACGCUGAGGCUCGAAAGUAUGGGUAGCAAACAGGAUUAGAUACCCUGGUAGUCCAUACCGUAAACGAUGAAUGCUAAGUGUUGGAGGGUUUCCGCCCUUCAGUGCUGCAGCUAACGCAUUAAGCAUUCCGCCUGGGGAGUACGGCCGCAAGGCUGAAACUCAAAGGAAUUGACGGGGGCCCGCACAAGCGGUGGAGCAUGUGGUUUAAUUCGAAGCUACGCGAAGAACCUUACCAGGUCUUGACAUACUAUGCAAAUCUAAGAGAUUAGACGUUCCCUUCGGGGACAUGGAUACAGGUGGUGCAUGGUUGUCGUCAGCUCGUGUCGUGAGAUGUUGGGUUAAGUCCCGCAACGAGCGCAACCCUUAUUAUCAGUUGCCAGCAUUAAGUUGGGCACUCUGGUGAGACUGCCGGUGACAAACCGGAGGAAGGUGGGGAUGACGUCAAAUCAUCAUGCCCCUUAUGACCUGGGCUACACACGUGCUACAAUGGAUGGUACAACGAGUUGCGAACUCGCGAGAGUAAGCUAAUCUCUUAAAGCCAUUCUCAGUUCGGAUUGUAGGCUGCAACUCGCCUACAUGAAGUCGGAAUCGCUAGUAAUCGCGGAUCAGCAUGCCGCGGUGAAUACGUUCCCGGGCCUUGUACACACCGCCCGUCACACCAUGAGAGUUUGUAACACCCAAAGUCGGUGGGGUAACCUUUUAGGAACCA